GACGAACGCUGGCGGCGUGCUUAACACAUGCAAGUCGAACGGAAAGGCCCUGCUUUUGUGGGGUGCUCGAGUGGCGAACGGGUGAGUAACACGUGAGUAACCUGCCCUUGACUUUGGGAUAACUUCAGGAAACUGGGGCUAAUACCGGAUAGGAGCUCCUGCUGCAUGGUGGGGGUUGGAAAGUUUCGGCGGUUGGGGAUGGACUCGCGGCUUAUCAGCUUGUUGGUGGGGUAGUGGCUUACCAAGGCUUUGACGGGUAGCCGGCCUGAGAGGGUGACCGGCAAAAUUGGGAUGGGAAUGGGGCCCGGACUCCGACGGGGGGCGGAGGGGGGGAAUUUGGCACAGGGGGGGGAGGCUGGAUGCGGAACCGCCGGGGGGGGGAGGGCGGCUUUGGGUUUGAAACCCGCUUCCCCCGGGGAGGAAGGGGGAGUGACGGAAAGGGGAAAAGAAGCACCGGCAAACUAGGUG
Molecule: ribosomal RNA, 468 nt
Filed under: uncultured bacterium
Lineage: Bacteria
Description: partial 16S ribosomal RNA
Rfam family: Bacterial small subunit ribosomal RNA
Source: RNAcentral